RNAcentral lists this ribosomal RNA (407 nucleotides) under uncultured bacterium. RNAcentral describes it as "bacterial SSU rRNA". It matches the Rfam family "Bacterial small subunit ribosomal RNA", at positions 355 to 776 of the family's 1533-position model. The record is from RNAcentral.
UGGGGAAUAUUGCGCAAUGGGGGAAACCCUGACGCAGCAACGCCGCGUGAAGGAUGAAGGUUUUCGGAUUGUAAACUUCUUUGAUGGGGGACGAACAAAAUGACGGUACCCCAAAAACAAGCCACGGCUAACUACGUGCCAGCAGCCGCGGUAAUACGUAGGUGGCGAGCGUUGUCCGGAAUUACUGGGUGUAAAGGGCGUGUAGGCGGGAUUGCAAGUCAGAUGUGAAAUUUCGAAGCUCAACUUCGGAGCUGCAUCUGAAACUGUGAUUCUUGAGUAUCGGAGAGGAUAGUGGAAUUCCUAGUGUAGCGGUGAAAUGCGUAGAUAUUAGGAGGAACACCAGUGGCGAAGGCGGCUGUCUGGACGAUAACUGACGCUGAGGCGCGAAAGCGUGGGGAGCAAACAGG